This 24-nucleotide non-coding RNA is filed under the name Arabidopsis thaliana (thale cress). The record is from RNAcentral. Lineage: Eukaryota; Viridiplantae; Streptophyta; Magnoliopsida; Brassicales; Brassicaceae.
ACAGCCCGAACCAGGAAGAUGAUG